UACGUAGGGUGCAAGCGUUAAUCGGAAUUACUGGGCGUAAAGCGUGCGCAGGCGGUUUUGUAAGUCUGUCGUGAAAGCCCCGGGCUCAACCUGGGAAUUGCGAUGGAGACUGCAAGGCUUGAAUCUGGCAGAGGGGGGUAGAAUUCCACGCGUAGCAGUGAAAUGCGUAGAGAUGUGGAGGAACACCGAUGGCGAAGGCAGCCCCCUGGGUCAAGAUUGACGCUCAUGCACGAAAGCGUGGGGAGCGAACAGG
This 253-nucleotide ribosomal RNA is filed under the name uncultured bacterium. Its description in RNAcentral is "partial 16S ribosomal RNA". It matches the Rfam family "Bacterial small subunit ribosomal RNA", at positions 524 to 776 of the family's 1533-position model. The record is from RNAcentral.